RNAcentral lists this ribosomal RNA (236 nucleotides) under uncultured bacterium. RNAcentral's name for it is "partial 16S ribosomal RNA". It matches the Rfam family "Bacterial small subunit ribosomal RNA", at positions 28 to 277 of the family's 1533-position model. The record is from RNAcentral.
GAUCAACGCUGGCGGCGUGCCUAACGCAUGUAAGUCGUGCGGGCUGCCUUCGGGCAGCCAGCGGCGAACGGCUGAGGAACACGUACGAACCUGCCCGCGCGUGGGAAUAACGCGCCGAAAGGCGUGCUAAUACCGCGUACGCUCCGCCCACUCGGGCGGAGGAAAGCCGCAAGGCGCGCGCGGAGGGCGUGGCGGCCCAUCAGGUGGUUGGUGCGGUAAUGGCGCACCAAGCCGUU